UGCUCAACAAAUUCCAUUCAACGGACA
This 27-nucleotide non-coding RNA is filed under the name Homo sapiens (human). Lineage: Eukaryota; Metazoa; Chordata; Mammalia; Primates; Hominidae. The record is from RNAcentral.